This 29-nucleotide non-coding RNA is filed under the name Mus musculus (house mouse). The record is from RNAcentral. Lineage: Eukaryota; Metazoa; Chordata; Mammalia; Rodentia; Muridae.
UNGUAAUUAAGUCAGAAUGAAAGAGUGUG